AGCUGUAAGUUAAACUUGGAGAAACCAAGCUUUUUAAAACUCGUAUCUUAUUAACUCUGCAGGUAAAAUUACCAUUUGAAAAAUUAAUACAUGCUCUGAAAAAUUUCCCGGAUGAUGCAAUGAAUCCGGAUACCUUGCUUCCAUUGGCUUAUUCUAUAAAGGUUCUCUUUCUUUUCCAAAAAGUGAAGCUGUCUCCUUAAUGUUGUGGUUAAGUUCUUAUAAUAACACUGGAGAGAUAUGAAAGAAUCAAAUUAGCGAUAUAGACAUGAUUAACUUGAUGGAUAAUUUAAUCAUACUUACUUGUAGUGAACAAUUGUUGAGGGGCAUUGAUGCUGUUAAAUCUGUUAGUGAAAACUCUGAGGUUUCUUGAGCUGAUAAACAUUAGUGGCAUUAAUACUUUGUUCAUCCCAGGUAU
RNAcentral lists this long non-coding RNA (415 nucleotides) under Capsella rubella. Its description in RNAcentral is "long non-coding RNA (CRUB_LNC003494)". Lineage: Eukaryota; Viridiplantae; Streptophyta; Magnoliopsida; Brassicales; Brassicaceae. The record is from RNAcentral.